This 511-nucleotide ribosomal RNA is filed under the name uncultured bacterium. Its description in RNAcentral is "partial 16S ribosomal RNA". It matches the Rfam family "Bacterial small subunit ribosomal RNA", at positions 28 to 523 of the family's 1533-position model. The record is from RNAcentral.
GACGAACGCUGGCGGCGUGCCUAAUACAUGCAAGUAGAACGCUGAAGGAGGAGCUUACUUCUCUGGAUGAGUUGCGAACGGGUGAGUAACGCGUAGGUAACCUGCCUGGUAGCGGGGGAUAACUAUUGGAAACGAUAGCUAAUACCGCAUAAGAGUAGAUGUUGCAUGACAUUUACUUAAAAGGUGCAAUUGCACCACUACCAGAUGGAUCUGCGUUGUAUUAGCUAGUUGGUGGGGUAACGGCUUACCAAGGCGACGAUACAUAGCCGACCUGAGAGGGUGACCGGCAACACUGGGACGGAGAACCGGCCCAGACUCCUACGGGAGGCAGCAGUAGGGAAUCUUCGGCAAUGGACGGAAGUCUGACCGAGCAACGCCGCGUGAGUGAAGAAGGUUUUCGGAUCGUAAAGCUCUGUUGUAAGAGAAGAACGAGUGUGAGAGUGGAAAGUUCACACUGUGACGGUAUCUUACCAGAAAGGGACGGCUAACUACGUGCCAGCCGCCGCGGUAA